GGGGGAAACCCUGAUGCAGCGACGCCGCGUGAGUGAAGAAGUAUUUCGGUAUGUAAAGCUCUAUCAGCAGGGACGAUAAUGACGGUACCUGACUAAGAAGCCCCGGCUAACUACGUGCCAGCAGCCGCGGUAAUACGUAGGGGGCAAGCGUUAUCCGGAUUUACUGGGUGUAAAGGGAGCGUAGACGGUCUGGUAAGUCAGGUGUGAAAGCCCGGGGCUCAACCCCGGGAUUGCACUUGAAACUACCCGACUAGAGUGCAGGAGAGGUAAGUGGAAUUCCUAGUGUAGCGGUGAAAUGCGUAGAUAUUAGGAGGAACACCAGUGGCGAAGGCGACUUUCUGGACUGUAACUGACACUGAGGCACGAAAGCGUGGGGAGCAAACAGGAUUAGAUACCCUGGUAGUCCACGCCGUAAACGAUGAGCACUAGGUGUCGGGGCCGCAAGGUUUCGGUGCCGCAGUUAACGCAUUAAGUGCUCCGCCUGGGGAGUA
RNAcentral lists this ribosomal RNA (491 nucleotides) under uncultured bacterium. RNAcentral's name for it is "bacterial SSU rRNA". It matches the Rfam family "Bacterial small subunit ribosomal RNA", at positions 373 to 882 of the family's 1533-position model. The record is from RNAcentral.